GAUGAAGAACGUAGCGAAAUGCGAUAAGUAAUGUGAAUUGCAGAAUUCAGUGAAUCAUCGAAUCUUUGAACGCACCUUGCGCCCUUUGGCCAUUCCAAAGGGCAUGCCUGUUUGAGUAUCAUGAACACCUCAACUCUUGUGGUUUCCCACAAUGAGCUUGGACUGUGGAGGUUUUGUUGGCCCUGUGGUCAGCUCCUCUCAAAUGGAUCAGCUUACCGGUGUUUGGUGGCAUUACGGGUGUGAUAACUAUCUACGCUCGUGGUCGUCUCCAAAUAACCUCCAGUGAUGGAGGUUCGCUGGAGCUUAUAAAUGUCUCUCCCCAGUGAAGACAGCCUUUGAACGUUCGAUCUCAAAUCAGGUAGGACUACCCGCUGAACUUAAGCAUAUCAAUAAGCGGAGGA
This 401-nucleotide unclassified non-coding RNA is filed under the name soil metagenome. Its description in RNAcentral is "partial contains 5.8S ribosomal RNA, internal transcribed spacer 2, and large subunit ribosomal RNA". The stretch from base 1 to 121 matches the Rfam family "5.8S ribosomal RNA", at positions 35 to 154 of the family's 154-position model. The record is from RNAcentral.